UACAGAGGGUGCAAGCGUUGUUCGGAAUUAUUGGGCGUAAAGCGCGUGUAGGCGGCUUUGCAAGUCGGGUGUGAAAGCCCUCAGCUCAACUGAGGAAGUGCGCCCGAAACUGCAGAGCUUGAGUACCGGAGAGGAUGGUGGAAUUCCCCAAGUAGAGGUGAAAUUCGUAGAUAUGGGGAGGAACACCGGUGGCGAAGGCGACCAUCUGGACGGAUACUGACGCUGAGACGGCGAAAAGCGUGGGUACGCAAACAGG
RNAcentral lists this ribosomal RNA (256 nucleotides) under uncultured bacterium. RNAcentral describes it as "partial 16S ribosomal RNA". It matches the Rfam family "Bacterial small subunit ribosomal RNA", at positions 524 to 776 of the family's 1533-position model. The record is from RNAcentral.